RNAcentral lists this ribosomal RNA (343 nucleotides) under uncultured ciliate. RNAcentral describes it as "bacterial SSU rRNA". It matches the Rfam family "Eukaryotic small subunit ribosomal RNA", at positions 473 to 848 of the family's 1831-position model. Lineage: Eukaryota; Ciliophora. The record is from RNAcentral.
AGAAAUAUAGUAGUUGCAUUUAGCAAUAUCUAACUGGAUUGAACAUACACCGUUCGAUGAAUGCGAUUGGAGGGCAAGUCUGGUGCCAGCAGCCGCGGUAAUUCCAGCUCCAAUAGUGUAUCUUAAUGUUGUUGCUGUUAAAAAGCUCGUAGUUGAAUUUCUGGCCAUCUAGCUAAGCCAUGUGCGAGGCAGGAAGGUCAUCCGCGUUGAAAGUACGUAUGCUGAAUAAGCUGCGUGUAGAAGGCGUAUUUUACUUUGAAGAAAUUAGAGUGUUCCAGGCAAGCGAUGCUUGAAUAUUACAGCAUGGAAUAAUGGAAUAGGACUAUCCAUUCUGUUGGUUAAU